AUGAACGCUGGCGGCGUGCCUAAUACAUGCAAGUCGAGCGAACGGACGAGAAGCUUGCUUUUCUGAUGUUAGCGGCGGACGGGUGAGUAACACGUGGAUAACCUACCUAUAAGACUGGGAUAACUUCGGGAAACCGGAGCUAAUACCGGAUAAUAUUUUGAACCGCAUGGUUCAAAAGUGAAAGACGGUCUUGCUGUCACUUAUAGAUGGAUCCGCGCUGCAUUAGCUAGUUGGUAAGGUAACGGCUUACCAAGGCAACGAUGCAUAGCCGACCUGGGAGGGUGAUCGGCCACACUGGAACUGAGACACGGUCCAGACUCCUACGGGAGGCAGCAGUAGGGAAUCUUCCGCAAUGGGCGAAAGCCUGACGGAGCAACGCCGCGUGAGUGAUGAAGGUCUUCGGAUCGUAAAACUCUGUUAUUAGGGAAGAACAUAUGUGUAAGUAACUGUGCACAUCUUGACGGUACCUAAUCAGAAAGCCACGGCUAACUACGUG
Molecule: ribosomal RNA, 496 nt
Filed under: uncultured bacterium
Lineage: Bacteria
Description: partial 16S ribosomal RNA
Rfam family: Bacterial small subunit ribosomal RNA
Source: RNAcentral